GUGAGCGCCGCCGGCCCCGCCAGCCCCUCACGGCGGCGCCCGCUGCCCCACGUGACCCCUCCCCGCACCGCCCACUGGCCGCUGAGGCUUUGACGGAGCCGAGCGGGGCGGGGCUCGGCGGGGGACGGCCGUUGCCGUGGCAACCGGCGCCGCCGCCGCCGCCGUCCCGCUCCAGAAGGUUCGGCCCGGGGCCUGCCGCCGGGCCCGGCGGGGAGCGGGGCGCAGCCCCAAGCCUGGAGCCCCUCGCUGCGCCUCGGGCUGCCGCUCCCCGAGCCCCCUGUUGCCUGGCGAGGCGGCGGGGCCCGGCCUGGUGAGGCUUGGCGGGGUGCAGGCCCCGCCGGGGAGCAGGCCCGGCCUCCACCCCAACUCCUGUCAGGCGUUUGGCCGCUGUCGCCCGCUGCCCCGUCCUUAGCAAUUUAAAAAAGAAUUAUUAUAUUUUUUCCAGUAGGUGGCAGUAAAAUAAAGCGACCGUGUUGUGCGAGGCGGGCUGCCUCCCCUCUCCCAGCGGCUGGAGCCUGAGCGGGAGCCUUUGGGGGAGCAGUGGCACCUCAGUGGGACGCACCAACGGCCUGCGCGAAAAGCAGCCAUAAAUAGCUGUUCCAGCGAAAUACAGCAGCGAGGAAAAACGGAGGCCGGGAUGGAGGAAGGAUAUCUGACCGCAGUUGCUGGCUCUGGCUGCGUGGCAGCCGGCUGUGGCUCGGGAUUACCUUUCACUCCGCACCAGCUAAGCACGCACAAGGCAUAUCCGAUUUCUGAGGCUUUAAGAACUGUAACAUGGAAAUCCAGCCUCCAGAGAUGUGGGGACCGGCAGUGUCCCGGGAAGGUGACCGUCCCUCCCGUCCCCCCUGGCAUGCCAGGACCAGCCACGCUGGGGAGCCCGGGGCAACACAGACCCCAGCAGCCGGUUUUGCUGAUGUGGGAGGGGAAGAAUCCACUUCUCCUUCCUAUAAACUCCCCCAGGGACCGCACCACACCACAUAGAUGGUAAAUAUUUGGAGCUUACCUUUUCGAGCAGUAUUUUUUAUUUGAAAAGACGUAGAUUCUAAAGCAUCAGAGAACUGUGAAAGAAACUGCUCUGUCUUGUCACCCUAACUUUAGCUCUGGUUAGGAAAUAAAAGGGCAAAUUUAGACUCCA
Molecule: long non-coding RNA, 1135 nt
Filed under: Calidris pygmaea (Spoon-billed sandpiper)
Lineage: Eukaryota; Metazoa; Chordata; Aves; Charadriiformes; Scolopacidae
Description: lncRNA (ENSCPGG00000004225.1)
Source: RNAcentral